GGGGAAUAACUUUUGGAAACGAUAGCUAAUGCCCCAUAGACUCGAAAGAGAAAAAAGAGCAAUCUGCCUAAAGAGAAGCUCGCGGCUGAUUAGCUAGUUGGUAAGGUAAUGGCUUACCAAGGCGACGAUCAGUAGCUGGUUUGAGAGAACGAUCAGCCACACUGGAACUGAGACACGGUCCAGACUCCUACGGGAGGCAGCAGUGGGGAAUUUUCCGCAAUGGGCGAAAGCCUGACGGAGCAAUACCGCGUGAGGGAUGACGGCCUUUGGGUUGUAAACCUCUUUUAUCAAGGAGGAAGUUCUGACGUGUACUUGAUGAAUAAGCAUCGGCUAACUCCGUGCCAGCAGCCGCGGUAAGACGGAGGAUGCAAGUGUUAUCCGGAAUCACUGGGCGUAAAGCGUCUGU
RNAcentral lists this ribosomal RNA (406 nucleotides) under uncultured organism. RNAcentral's name for it is "bacterial SSU rRNA". It matches the Rfam family "Bacterial small subunit ribosomal RNA", at positions 138 to 572 of the family's 1533-position model. The record is from RNAcentral.